This is a long non-coding RNA of Capra hircus (goat), 278 nucleotides long. RefSeq lists it as uncharacterized. The transcript is spliced from 3 exons. The record is from RefSeq and is a predicted model, not a curated record. NCBI's taxonomy places the organism in Eukaryota, Metazoa, Chordata, Mammalia, Artiodactyla, Bovidae.
GGUCUACGGGGUCACUAAGAGCUGGACAGGAUUUAGUAACUGAAGCCCACACAGAUGUCUGGCAGCCCUCGUUUGGUCUCUCACCUCCUGACACACAACAGUUGCCUCUUCUGUGCAUUUGCCUCCUCCUGAUCCUUUGUUUAUUGAAGAGAGGGGACCUUGACACCCACCGAUCAAAGUUAAAUACUUGACACCACAAGGAAGAUGCGAUGCAGAGCAGAGGUUCUUCAACUGAAGAGUGUCAGAAUCGCCUGGUGUGUGUUAGUCGCUUAGUUGUG